GUUCACUGCAUGCUCAGUCAGUUCAGUUUGAGGUUCAUAAAGGAAUUGAAGAUACUAAUGAUAUACUGUCAGUAGUGGUACCUCAAGAAUUAAGAGGAAGGAGUGAAGUAGUUAUAUUCCUAGCAGACAGACCUAUUAAAGAGGUUGUUUCUCUUGAUUCUUUGUUGCUGUCUUGUUUCAUUGAGCUUCAUAAGCAACAGUUGAUGUUAACUCCAUGGGAGCAGAUACUUAAAUCAGCUCAAAAUGUGCUCUUCAAUGAAGAACUGUUUGCACAGAUUGUACAAUCAUUUGUGAUCAGGAACUUGUAUUAUAUAAUGUGAAACUAUAAUUAACUAUUUAAGAGGAAAGGUCAUGACUAGUGGGUGGGUCAUCGAACCUUAUCGCUAUACAGAAAAACCACUGACACAAGUCACGCAUUUUGUGCAGGGGGUGUGGUUGUGGGUGGAGUCAAACAUGGUGUACAUUGAAUAGGUUGAUAUGGGAGGAGUACCAGCAACACUGGUUGUUAUUGUGUCAAGACGUCAGCCAUUAGCAGUGGCAUAUUUAUGUGAUUAUUUAGAAACAACUAGUUUAAA
Molecule: long non-coding RNA, 575 nt
Organism: Amphimedon queenslandica
Lineage: Eukaryota; Metazoa; Porifera; Demospongiae; Haplosclerida; Niphatidae
Exons: 4
Source: RefSeq, a predicted model, not a curated record